Long non-coding RNA from Oncorhynchus gorbuscha (pink salmon), 797 nucleotides. RefSeq lists it as uncharacterized. The record is from RefSeq and is a predicted model, not a curated record. The transcript has 3 exons. NCBI's taxonomy places the organism in Eukaryota, Metazoa, Chordata, Actinopteri, Salmoniformes, Salmonidae.
CCUCUGUUACAACAUAGAGUUUUAGUUGUCACCCAGGGCCGGAUGCUGUAGCUGCAGCUGAUCUAUUAGUCGCACAUUACAAGACUAGUAAAACCUUUUCACAGAUACAAAUUACAACUAUAUGAUCAUUUAUUUUUGUUGUCAUCAUGAUCCUUGUGGUCUUCUUAGUCUGCUCUCUAUAUCUGCCAUGGACCAGGGGUUCCUCUGCACAUAAAGUUCACCAGUCUCCGUCUGCUCUUAUCAAGGACCACGGAAGCUCUGUUGAUCAGGAGAUCAACUGUUCACACUCUAUCGCCAACUAUGAUCGCAUGCUCUGGUACAAACAAGACAUAAACAGGACUCUCAAACUACUAGGAUAUCUCAAUCUGAAUUUUGCCUAUUCAGAAGAAUAUGUGAAAGGGAAGAUCCGUAUCCAGGGGGAUGGCCGUAGUUAUGGAAACUUCUCUGUCUCUGGUCUGAAGCAGGAAGACAGUGCUGUUUAUUUCUGUGCAGUAUUACCACAGUGCUGUAGACUCCCUACUACCUCUACAAAAACCUUCCUCUGUCUGGGCCCCCUCUCUCUCUCUCUGCACACCUGUAGAUAACGUCUAGGGCAAGAGAGAGACAUCAUCUCAGCGGGCGCUAUCGACAAAUAUCAAUGGGACAAUGGACUACUUUCUGCACACGGUCGGUGUGAACCGGAGUGACUUGACACAUCGGGCCAAACAAGCAGUAGCUACAAACUAAACGGAAACGACACAGGACAUCGUACUUAGUUAGAGUGGUUCCAGUCUGCCGUGAAGCAUCCAUCCAUGUAU